AGCUGAGAGGUGGUGCAUGGCCGUCGUCAGUUCGUACUGUGAAGCAUCCUGUUAAGUCAGGCAACGAGCGAGACCCACGCCCACAGUUGCCAGCGUACUCUCCGGAGUGACGGGUACACUGUGGGGACCGCCGCUGCUAAAGCGGAGGAAGGAAUGGGCAACGGUAGGUCAGUAUGCCCCGAAUAUCCCGGGCUACACGCGAGCUACAAUGGUUGGUACAAUGGGUAUCUACCCCGAAAGGGGAUGGAAAUCUCCUAAAGCCAAUCUUAGUUCGGAUUGAGGGCUGCAACUCGCCCUCAUGAAGCUGGAAUCCGUAGUAAUCGCGUUUCAACAGAACGCGGUGAAUACGUCCCUGCUCCUU
RNAcentral lists this ribosomal RNA (361 nucleotides) under uncultured Methanosaeta sp. Its description in RNAcentral is "bacterial SSU rRNA". It matches the Rfam family "Archaeal small subunit ribosomal RNA", at positions 978 to 1338 of the family's 1478-position model. Lineage: Archaea; Methanobacteriati; Methanobacteriota; Methanomicrobia; Methanotrichales; Methanotrichaceae. The record is from RNAcentral.